AAGGUAAGGGUGAGAUAAAUCCUAAGGGACUAGGCUAAAAUUCAAAGAGAUAAAAGAUACUUGAAAGAAACUGUGGGAGUUGAAUUUACAAAAUAUUUCAUUCACUUGAACAACUCUAUAGCAAAUGUUUUCUCUUUCUCCUUUCUCUUUUUAUUCUUUUUUUUCUUCCAGAAGGAGUAUGUAUUGACAUGUAUUGACAUCCUACUAUUUUUUUCAUUCAUUUUUUUCUUUUCUGUUUGUUUUUUCUUUUUCUACCAACUUCUGAAAUAUUACAAACAUAAUUAUUCAACCGCACGCAACUCCAAACAAGACUCUUUCAACCCUUUGAAUAGGGUGAUAACAUUGUUUUUCACUUCUUGACUUGUAAUGAGUUUUAAACAAAAAAAGAUAAUAGGCUCAAAGGGGUUUCAAACAAGGUAUGAAAUUAUUUUAGGGUUGUAUUUUUGGCUAACUGGCUAAAUAAACAAAAAAAAUUGCCUUUAUCAUAUCAGUGUGCACAAGUAAACAACAACAUCAACAUGAGUCAAUUCAAGUUCUAGAGACUAAUAGACAUGAGUGAAUCACACAAGAAAGAAAGAGAUGGAUUUUUUAAUGUUAGCCAUUAAAAGGCUCAAAAUCUCAUAAGGUUAAUUGAUCUACCACAAAUGAUGUACAAUUUAGAGUUUAGUCCUACCUAUCAUACUAAAAAUGCACAACAAAAUUUUCACAUUACACCACAUGACUUUAGUCAAGAGAACUAAGAAAAAUACUCAUAACUAUAACUCAAAAACCAAAGGAAAAAACAUGCAACUUUUUUUUAAUUUAAGAAAGCAAAUAAAAACCAAAAUUGAAAAACUGAAAACAAACAAAGAAAACAAAACAAAUAAAUGGUUUCCUCCCCCACACUUAAAACAUACAUUAUCC
Molecule: long non-coding RNA, 903 nt
Filed under: Lathyrus oleraceus (garden pea)
Lineage: Eukaryota; Viridiplantae; Streptophyta; Magnoliopsida; Fabales; Fabaceae
Description: Pisum sativum (pea) long non-coding RNA (PSAT_LNC039557)
Source: RNAcentral